GGGCCCGUAGCGUAGUCAGGAUAUCGCGGCGGUCUUCGGAACCGCAGAUCCCGAGAUCGAAGCUCGGCGGGUCCG
This 75-nucleotide transfer RNA is filed under the name Thermoproteota archaeon. RNAcentral's name for it is "tRNA-Arg". It matches the Rfam family "tRNA". Rfam says of the family: Transfer RNA (tRNA) molecules are approximately 80 nucleotides in length. Lineage: Archaea; Thermoproteati; Thermoproteota. The record is from RNAcentral.